This 462-nucleotide ribosomal RNA is filed under the name uncultured bacterium. RNAcentral's name for it is "partial 16S ribosomal RNA". It matches the Rfam family "Bacterial small subunit ribosomal RNA", at positions 32 to 507 of the family's 1533-position model. The record is from RNAcentral.
AACCAACGCUGGCGGCGUGCCUAAUACAUGCAAGUCGAACGGGGAAAGCUUUCGGGUGAGUACUAGUGGCGCACGGGUGAGGAACGCGUGGAUAAUCUGCCUUAGAGUGGGGGAUAACUAGUCGAAAGAUUAGCUAAUACCGCAUAAGACCACGAGAGCUGCGGCUUUUGAGGUCAAAGGUUUUUCGCUCUAAGAUGAGUCCGCGUAAGAUUAGCUAGUUGGUGAGGUAACGGCUCACCAAGGCGACGAUCUUUAACUGGUCUGAGAGGAUGAUCAGUCACACUGGAACUGAGACACGGUCCAGACUCCUACGGGAGGAAGCAGUAGGGAAUAUUGCACAAUGGAGGAGUCUCUGAUGCAGCGACGCCGCGUGAGUGAUGAAGGCCUUCGGGUCGUAAAGCUCUGUCGCAGGGGAAUAACACAAUGAAGGUACCCUGUAAGAAAGGAUCGGCUAACUUCGUG